UACGUAGGUGGCAAGCGUUGUCCGGAUUUACUGGGUGUAAAGGGCGUGUAGCCGGGUUGACAAGUCAGAUGUGAAAUCCUGCGGCUUAACCGCAGAACUGCAUUUGAAACUGUUGAUCUUGAGUACUGGAGAGGCAGACGGAAUUCCUAGUGUAGCGGUGAAAUGCGCAGAUAUUAGGAGGAACACCAGUGGCGAAGGCGGUCUGCUGGACAGCAACUGACGGUGAGGCGCAAAAGCGUGGGGAGCAAACAGG
RNAcentral lists this ribosomal RNA (253 nucleotides) under uncultured bacterium. RNAcentral's name for it is "partial 16S ribosomal RNA". It matches the Rfam family "Bacterial small subunit ribosomal RNA", at positions 524 to 776 of the family's 1533-position model. The record is from RNAcentral.